CACCGUGUUUCUUUAACUAGUAAUAGGUUAAAGAUAAGAAGUCUUCUCUCUGAAUCAAGAACAUUAUGUAUUUGUUUUCCUAUUAUUCCCUCUUGGUUAAAUCUAGUAUGAACUUGUGCAGCCCUACCCUAAACAUUGGGAUUAGGGCUUUUAGUGGCGUAACUGAAAUAGAAAGCAUGAGCUAAAGCCUGUACCCAUUGAUUCUUAUUGGAAGCAUGUUACUCAACGAAUUCAAACGAGAGUUUCGUUGGAGGGAUCAACAUCUGUCUUCUCUCUCAUCGAUCUGCAUUACAUGCCAUCAAUUUCAAUGCGAUGCCUUGUGCGGCCUUCUCUCACUCACCACAUGCCAAUCCUCCCCCAUUGCAUUCUAACCUCAAAUGCAUCAAGUACAAAACCCAUGGAAGCUAAACUCAUCUCAGAAACUCCAUGUUAUUGCACAAAUCUUGCGUUAGCAAUAGCAUUUAUAGUUGACUUAAAUGCUACAUCCCUUUCCUUGGAUGAAAUCAAAUAUGAGAGAAUGCAAGCAGUAGCUGAAUUUUCAGCAAAGUAACACAACGAACAACGAAGGUGGGGGAGGCGAGUGCACUCCAUGAAAGAAAAUGUAUGACAAACUUGAAACGGAAGGUGUGCCACUUGAAUCAAAUUGCUUCCCAUAUCUGGAUAGACAAGAACCGACAGUUGCCAAAGACGUGGACAGAUGAAGUCUGUACAAAUGCUCACUCGCACAAGCCUGGGUGAAUCGGCUGCCUAUAAAAUUAAGAGGGCCACCCGUCAUCAUCAAAUCAAAGUAACAGAAAAUCUGCAUGUUCAGUAGCGCCAUUGAAUUAAACAAAGUACCGAUGAACAACCGACCACACCUAGAUGAAUGGUGUGAAAUUGAUCGUAGUAUCAUCUUAGAAGCAACUCAAGCAAAAAAAAAAGGAGAAGAUAUUAUAGUAAAGGUAUUUGUUUAAUUUUUAUCCUUAACAAUAUGAUUUAUUUAUUUAUUUUAUUUAAGUUAAUUAGAAUGGCAUUGAGUGACAAAUUGGGGCUCACCAACGACUCGG
Long non-coding RNA from Cajanus cajan (pigeon pea), 1046 nucleotides. RefSeq lists it as uncharacterized. NCBI's taxonomy places the organism in Eukaryota, Viridiplantae, Streptophyta, Magnoliopsida, Fabales, Fabaceae. The record is from RefSeq and is a predicted model, not a curated record.